RNAcentral lists this ribosomal RNA (253 nucleotides) under uncultured bacterium. RNAcentral describes it as "partial 16S ribosomal RNA". It matches the Rfam family "Bacterial small subunit ribosomal RNA", at positions 524 to 776 of the family's 1533-position model. The record is from RNAcentral.
UACGUAGGUGGCAAGCGUUAUCCGGAAUUAUUGGGCGUAAAGCGUGCGCAGGCGGUUUCUUAAGUCUGAUGUGAAAGCCCACGGCUCAACCGUGGAGGGUCAUUGGAAACUGGGGAACUUGAGUGCAGAAGAGAAAAGCGGAAUUCCACGUGUAGCGGUGAAAUGCGUAGAGAUGUGGAGGAACACCAGUGGCGAAGGCGGCUUUUUGGUCUGUAACUGACGCUGAGGCGCGAAAGCGUGGGGAGCAAACAGG